GAUGAACGCUGGCGGCGUGCUUAACACAUGCAAGUCGAACGAUGAAGCCCAGCUUGCUGGGUGGAUUAGUGGCGAACGGGUGAGUAACACGUGAGUAACCUGCCCUUAACUCUGGGAUAAGCCUGGGAAACUGGGUCUAAUACCGGAUAGGAGCGUCCACCGCAUGGUGGGUGUUGGAAAGAUUUAUCGGUUUUGGAUGGACUCGCGGCCUAUCAGCUUGUUGGUGAGGUAAUGGCUCACCAAGGCGACGGCGGGUAGCCGGCCUGAGAGGGUGACCGGCCACACUGGGACUGAGACACGGCCCAGACUCCUACGGGAGGCAGCAGUGGGGAAUAUUGCACAGUGAGCGCAAGCCUGAUGCAGCGACGCCGCGUGAGGGAUGACGGCCUUCGGGUUGUAAACCUCUUUCAGUAGGGAAGAAGCGAAAGUGACGGUACCUGAAGAAGAAGCACCGGCUAACUACGUG
Molecule: ribosomal RNA, 466 nt
Filed under: uncultured bacterium
Lineage: Bacteria
Description: partial 16S ribosomal RNA
Rfam family: Bacterial small subunit ribosomal RNA
Source: RNAcentral